CCUACGGGAGGCAGCAGUGGGGAAUAUUGCACAAUGGGCGCAAGCCUGAUGCAGCCAUGCCGCGUGUGUGAAGAAGGCCUUCGGGUUGUAAAGCACUUUCAGCGGGGAGGAAGGCGGUGAGGUUAAUAACCUCAUCGAUUGACGUUACCCGCAGAAGAAGCACCGGCUAACUCCGUGCCAGCAGCCGCGGUAAUACGGAGGGUGCAAGCGUUAAUCGGAAUUACUGGGCGUAAAGCGCACGCAGGCGGUCUGUCAAGUCGGAUAUGAAAUCCCCGGGCUCAACCUGGGAACUGCAUUCGAAACUGGCAGGCUAGAGUCUUGUAGAGGGGGGUAGAAUUCCAGGUGUAGCGGUGAAAUGCGUAGAGAUCUGGAGGAAUACCGGUGGCGAAGGCGGCCCCCUGGACAAAGACUGACGCUCAGGUGCGAAAGCGUGGGGAGCAAACAGGAUUAGAUACCCUAGUAGUC
This 465-nucleotide ribosomal RNA is filed under the name uncultured Klebsiella sp. RNAcentral describes it as "bacterial SSU rRNA". It matches the Rfam family "Bacterial small subunit ribosomal RNA", at positions 338 to 795 of the family's 1533-position model. The record is from RNAcentral. Lineage: Bacteria; Pseudomonadati; Pseudomonadota; Gammaproteobacteria; Enterobacterales; Enterobacteriaceae.